CAGUAGCCACGGUAAUACGAACCGUGCGAACGUUAUUCGGAAUUACUGGGCUUAAAGCGCGUGUAGGUGGGAAGGUACGUCUGUCGCUGAAAUCCCCCGGCUCAACCGGGGAACGGGCGUGGAUACGGCCAUCCUUGAGGAGCGUAGGGGGACCUGGAACUUCCGGCGGAGCGGUGAAAUGCGUUGAGAUCGGAAGGAACGCCCGUGGCGAAAGCGAGGUCCUGGACGUUUUCUGACACUGAGACGCGAAAGCCAGGGGAGCGAACGGGAUUAGAUACCCCUGUAGUCCCUGUCUCUUAUU
Molecule: ribosomal RNA, 301 nt
Filed under: uncultured bacterium
Lineage: Bacteria
Description: partial 16S ribosomal RNA
Rfam family: Bacterial small subunit ribosomal RNA
Source: RNAcentral